This is a non-coding RNA of Paramuricea clavata, 4946 nucleotides long. The record is from the annotation of a GenBank genome assembly. Lineage: Eukaryota; Metazoa; Cnidaria; Anthozoa; Malacalcyonacea; Plexauridae.
CCUUGACAGACAAACGCGCGUUACGAGCUGACAAAGCUAAAAUUUUACUCGAAAAUUUAUGCCAAUAUAUGAACAGUUUUUAUGCGGAGUAAAACGUAUUGUUUAGUAUAAUAGCACACGCUUACAGACUACGUAAACAUGUAACUUAUUCUGGGUGCAAGGAGUAUCGAAGACUAUGUUUUGGACUAUGAAUUUGCAGUCUGAAUUCUGAAAGCGACACGCCGGCAGAAAGCGACACGCCGGCUAAAGGCAGAGACUAAAGGUAUGUUGUGUGCUUUAUAGUUUAGUACGUUUUGCUGUUUAUAUGCAUCGCUCCAUAUUUGCAUUUCGCCGCAAGUUUAGCUUUCGUUUUAUUAAAUUAUAAUAGCAUCACGAUGUGUCAGCUCACAGCUGCAUUGUUUGGCUGGCUUUAAUAUUAAUAUAUUAAACAAAUUUUAUCAAAGGAAAACCUGACAGAAUUCUUUCGUAUAAACCCAGUGUAUUAUUAAAUAUUUAGCGGUUUUAUGCUGGCGCUUUAAAACCGCUCAUCAGGGGUCGGUUGUAUUUAAAACUCCGAUCCAGACCAGAUCUCUGAAAAAAUAUUUCCAAAUUUAUAGACAAGCCAUUUCUGUCAGAAAGUUUGCUGUGAAUUUUAGCUUACUGUAUGUAUAAAAAGCUAAAUAAAUAAAUAAACCUAUGGUUAAGCUAACCAAACUUUUAAAAACCGUCUCCAAGGGGCUGGUUGUUUGGGUUAUUUAUAACCCAGCUUUGAACAACUGGCCCCAGAUAGCUAAAAUUGAAAUGCGACAGACUCAAUCACUGUGGACAAAUUCAUCAGAUCAGGUGAAGCCACAUAUCAAUGGUUUAAGCCGGCUAAUUAUUAAUGAGUAUAUAUUAUUAAAACUAAAAAUCUAAUAUUUUCCUUACACCAUAAUUGUGCAAUUUUGGUAAUUUGAACUAUCAAAUGAAACAUAUUUAUACGUAAUGCCAGUCGUCCCCAAGGGGCCUGUUGUUUGGGUUAUUGCUAACCCUGGGUUAAUGAUAACCCAGCUUUGAACGACUGGCCCCAGAUAGCUAAAAUUUAAAUGCCACAGAUUCAAUCACUGUGAACAAAUUCAUCAGACCGGGUGAAACCACAUGUCAAUGGUUUAAUUAAGCCGGCUAAUUAUUAAUGAGUAUAUAUGGUUAAAACUAAAAAUCUAAUAUUUUCCUUACACCAUGAUUGUGCAAUUUUGGUGAUUUGAACUAUCAAAAUAUGAAACAUAUUUAUACAUAAUGCCAGUCGUCCCCAAGGGGGCCUGUUGUUUGGGUUAUUGCUAACCCUGGGUUAAUGCAAACCCAGCUUUGAACGACUGGCCCCAGAUAGCUAAAAUUUAAAUGCCACAGACUCAAUCACUGUGAACAAAUUCAUCAGACCAGGUGAAACCACAUGUCAAUGGUUUAAGCCGGCUAAUUAUUAAUGAGUAUAUACUAUUAAAACUAAAAAUCUAAUAUUUUCCUUACACAAUUCCUUGUGCAAUUUUGGUGAUUUGAACUAUCAAAUGACACAUACAGACAGUAUUUAUACAUAAUGCCAGUCGUCCCCAAGGGGCCUGUUGUUUGGGUUAUUGCUAACCCUGGGUUAAUGCUAACCCAGCUUUGAACAACUGGCCCCAGAUAGCUAAAAUUUAUGUGCCACAGAUUCAAUCACUGUGAACAAAUUCGUCAGACCAGGUGAAACCACAUAUCAAUGGUUUAAGCUGGCUAAUUAUUAAUGAUUUGGAUUCUUGCACUUCACUUGGUGGAAUUAGAAUUAAUAUUAGAAUGUUAGGGUUUGUAAUCCAAGUGAGAACAUAUACAUUUUAUGACCUAACCAGGAACGACUACGAAAAAUGCAGCACAAGGUCCUCUGGUAGGAUUUGAACCUACGGCCCUGUGAUUCCGGUGCAGCACUCUAACCAACUGAGCUACAGAGGCCAGCAGUCGUUCCUGGUUAGGUCUUAAAAUGUAUAUGUUCUCACUUGGAUUACAAACCCUAACAUUCUAAUAAUUAUUAAUGAGUAUAUAUGAUUAAAACUAAAAAUCUGAUAUUUUCCUUACACCAUGAUUGUGCAAUUUUGGUGAUUUGAACUAUCAAAUGAAACAUAUUAAAAUUUAAAUGCCACAGUCUCAAUCACUGUGGACAAAUUCAUCAGACCAGGUGAACCCACAUCAAUGGUUUAAGCCGGCUAAUUAUUAAUGAGUAUAUAUAAUUAAAACUAAAUGUCUAAUAUUUUCCUUACACCAUGAUUGUGCAAUUUUUGUGAUUUGAACUAUCAAAUGAAACAUAUUUAUACCUGUACACGAUUCCAGUCGUUCCAAUGUUAAGGUGAAUGAGAACUGCAGGGGUGGGUGCCAAAUUCUUAGUUUGCUCAUGCCUUGCCUAACUUAGAAACUAUGUACAUAUUGUUUAUCAUGUUUAUCUGAUAUCAAAGUCAAAGGCUAUUUGCCAGACAUUGACUGACACAAGUUUUCCUUGUUCAUUCAAUGUCCAAUCUGCCUACUGUGCUAGAUUACAUAUUGAAUCACAUUUGAAGACAGAUUUCCAAAAUUGAAUACAUUUAACUGUCUCUUAAAAUUUGAUGUGCGCUACUCUACAAUUAUGUAGUUGAAGGGUCUUGUAGUCUAAUGAUGUAAAUUACUGAGUAGAAAUUUUAUACAUUUAUUAGACUUAACCAGGAUCAAAAAAUGGCGGUACAACGCUCUAACCAACUGAGCUACAGACACCAGUUGUCAAGCUCUAACCACAAGUUCAUGUAUAUAUAUAUAUACAGUAUAUACCCUUCAAGACCCUUUAACCACUAUUUUACUUUUUUGUAAGUGGUACAUGAAUAUUCAAAUGGCCAUAAUUCCACUAAAAUAAUUUCUUUUUUGCAGAGCAAUGUCUACUCACAAGCUAAACCUUCCCUUUUCUGUUCCCGAGGAAAUGAUCAGCAAGGAAAAAGACAGUGGUAUUACGUAUGACUUACAUUAAGACAAGAGCCAGUAAAGGUGUAUAAGAACUCUUACAUGUUUGAAGGCAGACAAGUCACAACAUGUGAUCAAAAUGCAUGUAGUACUCUUGGGGAGUGGCUUGUCUGUUGAAGGGCAUAAUAUACAUGUAUUAUACUGAUAAAAUCUGCGGUAAAGGUGAGGUUGGUUUCACAGAAAGUCAGAGACUAAAAUAAUAAAUCACCUGAACUCAGUAACUACAGUAACAAACAAAAUGUAAUAAAUUGGUACCUUAAUUAAUAAAUGGCAGCAUUUUUCUGACAUAAAUAAUAUAUAUGAAGUCAUAUUGAAUUAAACAAUGUAUAUUGGGAAGACAUAAACUGACUCCAAUAUUUCAUCUAUGGGCGCUUUCCAUUCAAUGGCCUGACCGGUCAGACCUGAAUACUUUUCUCAGUAUCAAAGGAAAGAUCUGGUCUAUGUUUCUCAAAUGUCUAGCGAAAAUGGACCUCAUUCUAAUGUUAUCAAAAUUUUCCGGUUAGAUAGGUCCGAAACCCAAAUGUUUUGUGUUUCAUUCAACAAUUUGACCGUUCUGACCGGUUUGGCCAUGUUAAUGGAAAGCGCCAUAUAUAUCUUUUUUAUCCAAACUUGUUUGGCAUUGUUCAGUCAACAACGAAGAGAAAUAAGAUUGCAGGGCAAUUUUUCAAUUUGUCCCUGCAGAUGCAGUGCCAAAAUUUCAAUUUGUCGCUGCAAAUGCAGUGCCAAAAUUUCAACUUGGCGCUGGAAAUGCAGUGCCAAAUUUUCAAUUUGUCGCUGCAAAUGCAGUGCCAAAAUUUCUUAAUUUGUCACUGCAAUUGCAGUGCCAAAUUUUCGACUUUGCGCUGCAAAUGCAGUGACAAAUUUUCAAUGCCAAAUUUUCAACUUGGCGCUGCAAAUGCAGUGCCAAAUUUUCAAAUUGCCAAUUUGUCACUGCAAAUGCAGUGCCAACUUGCAGUGAGAAAUAUAAAUGCUUCGUAGUUGCGAUAUCGGGCAAAAUAUCUCCGUUUUGUCAUCGUUUUUAUUCGGGUUGCAAAAUAUAGUAUUAUAUUAAAGAUUUUUCAACAAGAUAAUUUCCCAGUCCUGCUAAAUAUGCAUGAUUUUACAAUAAACGGCAUUGCUAUUCUCAUUUGCUUCAAGAUCAUUCAAUUUCAUUAAAAUUUCCUAAUUUCUUGCAAUGCUGCAGUUCUUGAUUUUGUUGGGUUUUGUUGCAAAUAUUAAUAAAAUGUAGGGAAUCCUGCAUGAAUGAAUAGACAGAUUGCAAGAAUCUCAUUAUAUUCCAAUUAUUAGCAGCAUAUUAGUCAAAUUUCGUGCAAAAACAGCAGAUUUGCUUAGGUUUUGUCCGGAAUUCAGUUAAAUAGAAUAUUUCACUUUGCUCUAGAACGUGUUAUUAAGACAUUACCUUAAGUUUCCAUUCUAUAUUUUUCUCAUAACAUGAUAUGUUUCAGAUAAUAAUUAACUGCUUUAUAUUUUUAUAGACAAAGAAGAGUUAAUUCUCUUAAGUGAGAGGUAUCGUGCCUUUGAGGAAUCGGAUGUAUUGGUCGAGUACUGCAUAUGGUCAUGAAAUUACAACUAAUGUGCGUACUGCUAUCAUCAUGGUUUGAAAAUUGGAGGUUUUUUACCAACUUCUGCUGAUCAGCAGGGAUCAAAGGAAAAGAAAACAAUUAUUUAAAUAAACACCAGUAAUGAAAAUAAAACAUUCAUGAUGACAUAUACUAGAUUUGUAGAAGUAGUUGUCCUGGGGUGAUGAUAGUAAUUCAGUCACUUUUGGGGAACAUUUUUAAAAAUGUACAUGUUUCAAUUUAUAUCUCAUAUUUUUCUCAGAACCAAUCCAUCACUACAUUAAACAUACAGUAUUUUCAGUGGUCAAGUAAUGAACAAUGAUUUGAUGUUUGGAAAGAGAGGUCACAAAAUAUGUUAAUGAAAUUUUAAUAACUUUUAUAUAUUUACAGUACAUAGUAAUUUAGUAUUAUUUUAUAAUAACA